UGGCUCAGAGGUUAAAGUGUCUGCCUCCAAUGCAGGAGACCUGGGUUCAAUCCCUG
Non-coding RNA from Bos taurus (domestic cattle), 56 nucleotides. NCBI's taxonomy places the organism in Eukaryota, Metazoa, Chordata, Mammalia, Artiodactyla, Bovidae. The record is from Rfam.